Molecule: ribosomal RNA, 253 nt
Filed under: uncultured bacterium
Lineage: Bacteria
Description: partial 16S ribosomal RNA
Rfam family: Bacterial small subunit ribosomal RNA
Source: RNAcentral
UACGUAGGGGGCUAGCGUUGUCCGGAUUUAUUGGGCGUAAAGAGCGUGUAGGCGGCCUGGUAGGUCUGCUGUGAAAACUCGAGGCUCAACCUCGAGAUGUCGGCGGAAACCAUCUGGCUAGAGUCCGGAAGAGGAGAGUGGAAUUCCUGGUGUAGCGGUGAAAUGCGCAGAUAUCAGGAAGAACACCGGUGGCGAAGGCGGGUCUCUGGGCCGAUACUGACGCUGAGGAGCGAAAGCGUGGGGAGCGAACAGG